AUAUUGCACAAUGGGGGAAACCCCGAUGCAGCGACGCCGCGUGAGUGAAGAAGUAUUUCGGUAUGUAAAGCUCUAUCAGCAGGGAAGAUAAUGACGGUACUUGACUAAGAAGCCCCGGCUAACUACGUGCCAGCAGCCGCGGUAAUACGUAGGGGGCAAGCGUUAUCCGGAUUUACUGGGUGUAAAGGGAGCGUAGGUGGCAGGGCAAGUCAGAUGUGAAAACCCGGGGCUCAACCCCGGGAGUGCAUUUGAAACUGUCCAGCUGGAGUGCAGGAGAGGUAAGCGGAAUUCCUAGUGUAGCGGUGAAAUGCAUAGAUAUUAGGAGGAACACCGGUGGCGAAGGCGGCCUGCUGGACUGCGACUGACGUUGAGGCCCGAAAGCGUGGGGAGCAAACAGG
This 398-nucleotide ribosomal RNA is filed under the name uncultured bacterium. Its description in RNAcentral is "bacterial SSU rRNA". It matches the Rfam family "Bacterial small subunit ribosomal RNA", at positions 361 to 776 of the family's 1533-position model. The record is from RNAcentral.